RNAcentral lists this ribosomal RNA (213 nucleotides) under uncultured bacterium. Its description in RNAcentral is "partial 16S ribosomal RNA". It matches the Rfam family "Bacterial small subunit ribosomal RNA", at positions 137 to 334 of the family's 1533-position model. The record is from RNAcentral.
AGGGGGACAACAGUUGGAAACGACUGCUAAUACCGCAUACGAUCUAAUCUCGGCAUCGAGGAUAGAUGAAAGGUGGCCUCUACAUGUAAGCUAUCACUGAAGGAGGGGAUUGCGUCUGAUUAGCUAGUUGGAGGGGUAACGGCCCACCAAGGCGAUGAUCAGUAGCCGGUCUGAGGGGAUGAACGGCCACAUUGGGACUGAGACACGGCCCAG